UCUUUCUUCGCUCUCUCCCUCGGUCUCUCUCCGUCCCGGCACGAGCAGAGGCGUCGGGCGUUACUACGGCGUAACGGCCGCGGCUGCCCUCCUCCUCCUCCUCCGUUCUCCCUCGCCUACCUCUCAUCUCCAUUUGUCCCUCACCAUCCUCUCUCUUUCUCUCUCCCCUUCCCUCCUCAUGUGGAGGCAUGCAACGAGGCGGUGGCAAGCGCUAGGUGAUGGUGGCUCUAAGGGCGGUGCGACGGGAUGGGAGGGGCUCGGCGGUCACCUCGCUCUCCCCCAUCCUCCGUGCAGCCUCCUCAAUGCCUCCUCCCGCUAGGGAGCUUAUGCUUCUUUGCUCGACGAAACCCUAAGUGUUGUUCGGUGGCGGCGGCGGCGGCGGUGAAGCUCCACGAGUAGAUUUGCCGGUGACUCACUUUCCUCCUUCAUCCUAGGCGAUAGAUUCUGUGAUAGAAGCCCUAUCCACGUCGCUCCAAGUGUCCUUGGCCAUCCGAUCUCGCGUUCAACGGCCCAGAUCGCUCGAAGCGGUUUCUCACCGGCACCAGCUUCUUCUGCUUUUGGUUAGCUUCUCUCGCUUCUUCUUUGCUUCUCUGGCUUCUUUUCAGAAUCCGGGAAACUGAAUAUAUACUCUGGCUUCCACUUCUCCUUCCAGAUUCUUCCCUCCUCUCUUUCUUCGCUCUCUCCCUCGGUCUCUCUUCGUCCCGGCACGAGCAGAGACGUCGGGCGUGACUACGGUGCAACGGCGGCGGCGGCCCUCCUCCUCCUCCUCCGUUCUCCCUCGCCUACCUCUCAUCUCCGUUUGUCCCUCACCAUCCUCUCUCUUUCUCUCUCCCCUUCCCUCCUCAUGUGGAGGCAGGCAACAAGGCGGCAGCUAGCGCUAGGUGACGGCGCCUCUGAGGGCGGUGCGACGGGAUGGGAGGGGCUCGGCGGUCACCUCGCUCUCCCCCAUCCUCCGUGCAGCCUCCUCAAUGCCUCCUCCUGCUAGGGAGCUUAUGCUUCUUUGCUCGACGAAACCCUAAGUGUCUGUUCGGCGGCGGCGACAGCGGCGGCGGUGAAGCUCGACGAGUAGAUUUGCCGGUGACUCACUUUCCUCCUUCGUCCCAUGGCUGCUCCCCAAGGUUCUCUCAGUCGCAUUUUUUUUGGAGCGGCAGAUCCUCACAAAAAUUUCUAUGGCACAAUUCCUAUGGCAAUUGACAACUGCAGAUUCUAAAGCUUGUG
RNAcentral lists this long non-coding RNA (1218 nucleotides) under Sorghum bicolor (sorghum). RNAcentral describes it as "long non-coding RNA (SBIC_LNC013305)". The record is from RNAcentral. Lineage: Eukaryota; Viridiplantae; Streptophyta; Magnoliopsida; Poales; Poaceae.